UUUUUUUUUUUGUUUGUUUUGUUUUUUGUUUUUUAAUGAUUUUGCAAAGAGAUAUUGUAUCAGUGGCCAGUUUGGUUAAUAUCUCACUAUGUGGGAAGUUCAAGGACAAGCCCUGGCUCAAAGGGUGGGGAAUGUGAUGAUUUGUGGUUUAGGUAUUAGUGUCUGCUAGCAGCAGCUGGAGAAAAUGUUCUUUAGUGAGGUGGCAGACCAUUCAAAGGGGAAAUAUGGAUACAUAUGCUUAUUCCAGCAGCUUCCUGUUCUGUCUCCUGUUGACUGAUGGUCUUCUCCAUAAGGAAUGAAUGAGAAUGCCAGUGGUGAGGUUGAAAAAGACUGUCUUUCACCACCCAGAGUAGUGCAGAUAGCUGAGAAAGAUUUCUCACUACUGUUUGGCACUCCAGAAGUCUGCGUCUGUGUGGACUUGAUUCCCAAGGUCCACUCCCACCUCCCAGAAUUGGGCACAGAACGAAAAAGAGUAGCUAAUUAUAAAGGUGUGUUCAAUCCACUUUUCAUCAAGAGAGAACUUGAGGCUGGUCUCCAGAGCAGUAGUUUGAGGUGAUUGAAUGUCAUCAUGAGGGAAGAUGGGAGACAUGGUAUAGAUCACCUCCUUGCCCUUUAGACAAGAUAGCCUCCAAGUUAUUUGCAACACAGUAGAUGUAUCCAUCCUGAUUUUAAAGAUCCUCUGAUUUCACUGCUUACUAGCUUGUUCUUUUAAAAUGUUCCUGCGUAUGUAACAUUUUUCUAAUUCUAGACAAAAAAAAUUAUAAAAAGAAGUACUUCUUAUUUCCUUGGAGUUUUAUAUAGAUUGCAUUUUGUAUCUCUCCAAAAUUAGAAUGUGAUGGGAAGAGUUUUUGAAAGCUUAUGAUCAUAUGGAAAGGAGAUUUCUGAACCUCAUGGAGGUGUCAAGAAAAGAUGGCUUGAGCAUAAUUAAUAUCAAACCAAGAGAAAAGACUGUGAUUUGGGUUGGUUAUUGACUAUUAGCUGACUGUAUGUAUAUACAUAUGUGUGUAUGUGUAUAUUUGAAACGUCCAACCAUUUGUUCAACUGUCCUCUGGAAGGUGAAAUUAUACUUUAGAAGAGUGUGAAGAUAAGUUUCUUCCCUGUACUGUCCAUAAAUGUCCCACUCAUCCUGAUUAAAUGUAGUUUCUCCAUAGUGAGGAGCUAGUAAAGCAAUUUAGAGUAACACACAAUCACUAUGAUGGAAUUUUCUGCUCAAAAUGUCAAAAGUUGGUUAUUAUUUGAAAAGAGGCCAAGGAACUAAAUCAAACAGGUCUAUAGGAAGGACCAGACAAGAGAUGUGGCUCUUUUUGGCUGAGACAAGAGCUCUAAUGAGAGCUGGAGGGCUAACUGGAAAGUUUUCAAAUCAGAUCACUUGGUAGAACUAUUUAGGAUGCUAAAACACCAAAUUUGAAAGAAUGACAAUAGCAAGAUUAAAACUAGAAUCCAGGAGGUACAAGUAGUGGUGAGGGCACAAAGUUUAUUGUCACUCUACAUCCAACUCUGCAUUAGGAAGAGGAGCCCCAAAGGAUGCCUUGCAUGUAACAGAAAGGAAGGGAACAUUAGUAAGGCAAGUCUGAGGGAAAACAGAAAAUUUUAGUAAUUUAACUUGCAUCUUUGUAAAAGAGAUCAAAUGCAAGCAGAGUAACUUCUCAAUUUGCUGAAGGAUUUGAAAGUCCCAUAGUAUAAGUAGGUAACUCUGACUCUAGAAAAAUAUAAGAUAAUUUGAUUGGGAGGGCAUGCUGUCUCUUGGGAUGAAACUGAGGGGCUGUUGUGUUAUAACAGUCCAGUGCCAGUGCUUUUGAGAAGGUAUGAGUACUACAGAAAACAUUGAGGGUGGCAAAGAACAUUUCCUCCUUUAAAUAGAAUAAAAAAGGUAGCCCAAACAAUAGACAUAAAAGCAAAAAUAAACAAAGAGGACUUAAACUUACAAGUUUAUAUACAGCAAAGGAAACCAUAAACAAAAUGAAAAGACAACCUACAGACUGGGAGAAAAUAUUUUCAAAUGAUGAGACUGAUUAGGGAUUAAUUUCCAAACUAUACAUGUAACUCAUGCAAGGCAUCAUCAACAACAACAAAAUAAACCGAUUGAAAAACUGGCAGAAGACCUAAAUGCACAUUUCUCCAUAGAAGACAUCCAGAUGGCCAAUAGCCACAUGAAACGAUGUUCAUCACUAAAUAUGGGAGAAGUGCAAAGAAAAAACUACAGUGAGGUACCACUUCACACCAGUGAGAAUGGCCAUCGUUUAAAAGUCUAUAAAUAACAAAUCCUGGAAGGGACAUGGAGCUAGGGGAACCCUCCUUAAACUGUUGAUGGGAAUGUAAAUUGAUGCAGCCACUAUGGAAAACUAUUUGGAGGUUUUUCAAAAAACUGAAGAUAGAGUUGCCAUAUGAUCCAGCAAUCCCACUCCUGGGCAUAUAUCCAGAUAAAAUUAUAAUUUGAAAAGGUAUGUGCAUCCCCCUGUGUUCAUAGCAGCACUAUUUACAAUAGCUAAGACAUGGAAAUAACCUAAAUGUCUAUUGACAGAGGAAUGGAUAAAUAAGAUGUGGUGUAUAUAUAAAUAUACACACACACACACACUAGAGUAUUACUAAACCAUAAGAAAGAAUGAAAUAAUGCCAUUUGCACAACAUGGAUGAACCUAGAGAUUAUCAUACUCAAUGAAGUCAGAGAAAAACAUAUACCUAUGAUAUCACUUACAUGUGGAAUCUAAAAUAUGACACAAAUUAAUCUAUCUACAAAACAGAAACAGACUUACAGACAUAGACAACAGACUUGUGGUUGCCAAGAGGGAAGGGAUAUGCGGGAAGGGAAGGAUUGGGUGUUAGAGAUUAGCAGAUGAAAACUGUUACAUAUAGAAUGGUUAAACAAUAAGGUUCUACUGUAUAGCAUAAGGAACUACAUUCAGUAUCCUCUAAUAAACCAUAAUGAAAAAGAAUAUAUAUUUGUAUAACUGAAUCACUUUGCAAUACAGCAGUAAUUAACAACAUUGCAAAUGAACUUGCUCAAUAAUAUUUUUUUAAUUAUUUUAUUUUAUUUUUUUGUCUUUUUGCCAUUUCUUGGGCCACUCCCAUGGCAUAAGGAGGUUCCCAGUCUAGGGGUCUAAUCGGAGCUGUAGCUGCUGGCCUAUGCCAGAGCCACAACAACGUGGGAUCUGAGCCAUGUCUGCAACCUACACCACAGCUCACAGCAAUGCCGGAUCCUUAACCCACUCAGAAAGGCCAGGGAUCAAAUGCACAACCUCAUGGUUCCUAGUCAGAUUCAUUAACCACUGAGCCACGAUGGGAACUCCAAUAAUUUUUUUAAAGGUAGCUUACAGUAACUACCUACUGUUAGGCAUAAUAUCAAUAACUUGUAUACAAGUGUUUAUAGCAGGAUUAUUCAUAAUGGCCAAAAAGUGAGAAUAACAAAAUAUUCAUCAACUGAUAGUGGACAAACAAAUGUAGUAUAUCCUGUGAUUUGUUUUUCAGCCACACAAAGGAAUGUGAUACAUGCCACAGAAGUUAUGCAAUAAUGAUGUCUAUUUGGAGCUUUAAGCAUUGUGUAACUUGCUUAGCUUAUAGUAGAGAGGAGGCAGCAACCCUACAAAUCCAGGUGAGUAAGGAUUUGCUGUUGACAUCUGAUAAGGGAAAAGAGAAUUAGAGUAGUCAGAAAAGGUUGAAAAGGUAGGUGUGGUGGCUUCAGUAAAGCAAAAUGUAUUAAAGGGUUCAGUAAAGCAAAAUGUGUUAAAGGGUUAAGUCUAGCACUGUCCAGAUAACACAAUCUAGAUACUCUGUGCUUCCCUAUCAAGUUGCUAGCAAAGUAUACUCUGUGACAAAUGAAUAUCUUACUGGAAUUUUUCAGAGUUGUGGUGAUAUAACCACCAUCUCUCUCCAGUGUCUACAUACUGCUUUUUCUAUUUCGAUCUGGUGCACUUACCCACUUUCUGAGUCACUUCCUAUUAACUUGACUUCCUGGGUUGGGCAUUCUGUGGUUACUGGAUACCUCUAGUGAUAAAUUAAUAACAUUGUUCUGCUUUAUUCACUGGCCUUAACAAAGUUUAAUUUGUAUGAGUAUCAUCUAGGCCAGAGAUUUACUUUGCAUUUCAUGCAAAUGGAAAUGACAAGAAAGCUGGGAUAGCAUACUCAUGUCAGACAAAAUAGACUUUAAAACAAAGGCCAUAAUGGAAAAGGAGGACACUGUAUAAUGAUAGAAGGGUUAAUAUAAGAGGAGGAUAUUACACUUGUUAAUGUAUAUGUACCCAAUAUAGGAGCACCUAAAUACAUAAAACAAAAAGUAACAUACAUAAAGGGAAAAAUUGAUGAGAAUGCAAUAAUUGUAGGAGACUUUAUCACCCUAUUGACAUCAAUGGACAGAUUUUCCAGACAGAAAAAUCAAUAAAGCAACAGAGAUCAUAAUGACACAAAGAAGAGUUAGACUUCAUAGAUAUUUUCAGGACAUAACAUCCAAAAAAAACCCAAACAAAACAAAAUCAGAAUAUAUAUUCUUUUCAAUGCACAUGAAACAUUCUCUAGAAUAGGUUACAUAUUAAUACAUGAAACAAACCUCAACAAAUUUAAAGGGAUAGAAAUUAUUUCAAGGAUCUUCUCUGACCAGAACAACAUGAAACUAAAAUCAACCCCAGAAAGAUACAAAAAGAGUUACAUGGAAACAUGCUGCUAAAAAAAAAAAAAAAAAAAAAAAAAAAAAAAUGGGUCAAUGAUGAAAUCAAAGAUGAAAUUAAAAAUUACAUUGAGAUAAAUGACAAUGAAAACAUAACUGUACAUAAUCUAUGGGAUACUGCAAAAGCAGUCAUAUGAGGGGGAAUUCAGAGCAAUACAGGCCUUCCACAAAAAUCAAGAAAAGUCUCAACCUAAGCUACCACUUGUAAGAGAUAGAAAAAGAACAAACAAAACCUAAAGUGAGCAGAAGGAAGGAAAUAAUAAAGAUCCUUGGAAAUAAACUAGAGAUUAAAAAAUAGAAAAAUCAAUCAAAGCAAGAGCUGAUUUUUUGAAAGGGUAAACAAAAUUGACAAACCUGGUCCAGGCUCACCAAGAAGAAAAGAGAGAUGACCCAAAUAAACAAAGUAAGAUUUCGGCUUUCAUUUCUUUAAAUUCAACUAAGCUAAAGUCUUAAAUAUCAGGAAAGGUGGACAUUAUCUUUUAUAUAAUACCUUUCUAAAGUUUUAAAAAGGAAUAAAAAUCAGACUUAAAAGAAUUGCUAAUUUAUCUUCUAAUGUCCUAUGAGAUAUGAGAGAGUGAUGGGUUAUUGGCAUUGCAAACUAUGAUACUGUUCAAUUAUAAAAAGCUAGGACAAGCCCACUUCCAAUUUUUACUAUUAAAUAUAGCCUGGCUGCUUGGGAUAAGCAGCCAUGGUGAUAUGGGGAGCAUUAGGCCACUUCUGAGAGAAGAAAAUCUUAUUCUGCCCUCAAUGGGACUCCAGGAAACAUAUUAGCACUGGAUCCUCUGGUCUAUGCUGAUCUCUCUCAGUUCUUCCAACAGACCAGUCCAACUCAGCUCCUGCCUACUGGCCAGUUAUGGGCUCUCUGGAAUUCCUGACUCCCCACUUGAACAUUGAACAGCCUCAGUUCCUAGGUGUGAGAGGGAAAUGAAGAGUCCUAUGUUGUCACAGAAGCAGCCUUGCCAUCCAAGUCCCUCCAGCCCAGUUAUGGCCUGACUGUAGUCCAUUGUCCUAUACUAUGAAGAGCAGGCACCCUUUGGGCACAUGAGGCUUUUUCUUUUAGACUCUGGUUGAAUGUGCUAGAUUAGCCUUUAGGGUAUGUUUGCAUUGACAUAAAGAAUCUUAAAGUCAUGCAAGUAUUUCAGAGUUUGAUGACAAAUAUCUCCCCUUGGAAAAACAUUCACGUGUCUGGAGUGAAGAUUUUCUGUGAUUUAGACUGAUAGAAUUAAGAUAUUACAAUUAAAACUGUCUUCCUGGUUGUUCUAAGAGAGUAGUUCUGCAGAGGGCUAGAGAAGACAUCCAAGAUUUUUGCUAUGGCAAAACAAAUCUGAAGUUUAAGGGAUAGGAGACAGUGUUUGGCAUGGAUUAUUUUGCUUAUUCCAUCCACUUCACCUUGGUGGGCUGGAAUAUUGAUUAAAGGUUCUAGGUGCACAAUGCAAGUUACGCAGUCUUCACAGGGAGGGAGUCUGUGGUGUAGCUGAGAGUACCCACCAUGGAUGGAAGUUAGCUUUAGAGUAAGGAAGACCAAAUUCAUCUUCCACUCAUUGGGCCUUUGCAAAAAAAAGUAGAAACCUUAGAAUGGCAACUGAAUGAAGGCAAAUGUGAAUGUAAUAAAUACAGAUGAGAAGACUUCAAACCAGGUUUUUUCUUUUCUUUUUUUUGUCUUUUGUCUUUUUAGCGAUGCACUUGCAGCAUAUGGAGGUUCCCAGGCCAGGGGUUGAAACAAAGCUGUAGCUGCCAGCCUACACCACAGCCAAAGCGACGUGGGAUCCAAACCAAAUCUGUGACCUAAACCACAGCUCAUGAAAAUGACAGAUCCUUAACCCACUGAGCAAGACAAAGGAUCAAACCUGCAUCCUCAUGUAUGCUAGUCAGAUUCAUUUCUGCUGAGUCAUGAUGGGAAUUCCUGGAACCAGAUUCUUAAAUGCAGAAUGAAUUUUUACUGUCUGGAGGUGUCCAGAGGGGGGACAAUUUGAAAAUGUAGGUGAAGAAGAGUCUGGUCAUAAGAACCAUCCUUGCUGCAUUGGUUUGUUGACAU
This 6692-nucleotide long non-coding RNA is filed under the name Sus scrofa (pig). RNAcentral's name for it is "lncRNA (ENSSSCG00000060375.1)". Lineage: Eukaryota; Metazoa; Chordata; Mammalia; Artiodactyla; Suidae. The record is from RNAcentral.